UGAAGCUGAGCAGCCGCUACUCACGCCGCUACCCGUGUCCCCUCUGCGGCGGCUCGCUCCCCAUUCCCUCUCCUCACAAACCGGGAGAUCUGCGGCCGACACAACCCGGCCCGCCCCGGGCGCGGUCCCAACCGCUUCCGCACCUUCUGAGGGGAAAGCGGCAGCGGGGGCGGCUUCCCGCCCGCGCACAGCCUGAGGCGGGCAAAGGAGUCCCCGCCUGAGGUAACCCUGUCUGAGGGGAUCAGAGGCGUCCCCGCAUGAGGUGUCCCUGCUUGAGAUUGGGAGAGGUGUCCUCACCUGAGGGGAGCAGAGGAGUCCCCGCCUGAGGUGUCCCCCGCCUGAGGUGUCCCCACCUGGGAUGUCCCUGCCUGAGCGCAGUCCUGAGGCCUCCAGAUACCAUUGCCAGCCUUAAUAAAACCUAAUAAAACUUAAUAAAACAGGUCUAUGUGGAGGACUCCGUUUCCCGCCCUCCGGCGCUGCCUCUGAGGUGUCUCUGGUGGCACCAGGAAUCCCCACGGUAACAAAAUCAGUAUUCAGAUCUGUCGCUUUGAUGUCAUAUGAAUAACAGCUUUGCAGCAGAUUUAAUUUCAACUACCUAAGGUUUUUCUUAGCAGUACCUGAGUCAACUUGGAAUGCUUCUCUUAGAAAAUCAGUGUCCACAAAGAAGUCCUAAGGAAAGCUGGAAGUAUCACUCUACUUGUAGCACCUUUCUACAAUAUUGCUGUGUUGCCUUCAUCCACAUCCAGUGGCAUUUUAGUUAAGGAGUGAACUUUGGAAACCAAUCUCUUCAUCUUCCCUUCCAAAUGAUUUGGAUCUUAUUGCAGAGCAGAUCUGAGAGUAAAACAAGUCUUAACCACCAAUCAGCUGAAGUUUUGACUUUUGUGGACACCCUAUAGAUGAAAUGAAGCAUCUACCAUGACUUGAGCACA
This is a long non-coding RNA of Calypte anna (Anna's hummingbird), 929 nucleotides long. RefSeq lists it as uncharacterized. Lineage: Eukaryota; Metazoa; Chordata; Aves; Apodiformes; Trochilidae. The record is from RefSeq and is a predicted model, not a curated record. The transcript has 5 exons.